Molecule: ribosomal RNA, 701 nt
Rfam family: Bacterial small subunit ribosomal RNA
GCUUGCUGGGUGGAUUAGUGGCGAACGGGUGAGUAACACGUGAGUAACCUGCCCUUAACUCUGGGAUAAGCCUGGGAAACUGGGUCUAAUACCGGAUAGGAGCGUCCACCGCAUGGUGGGUGUUGGAAAGAUUUAUCGGUUUUGGAUGGACUCGCGGCCUAUCAGCUUGUUGGUGAGGUAAUGGCUCACCAAGGCGACGACGGGUAGCCGGCCUGAGAGGGUGACCGGCCACACUGGGACUGAGACACGGCCCAGACUCCUACGGGAGGCAGCAGUGGGGAAUAUUGCACAAUGGGCGCAAGCCUGAUGCAGCGACGCCGCGUGAGGGAUGACGGCCUUCGGGUUGUAAACCUCUUUCAGUAGGGAAGAAGCGAAAGUGACGGUACCUGCAGAAGAAGCACCGGCUAACUACGUGCCAGCAGCCGCGGUAAUACGUAGGGUGCGAGCGUUAUCCGGAAUUAUUGGGCGUAAAGAGCUCGUAGGCGGUUUGUCGCGUCUGUCGUGAAAGUCCGGGGCUUAACCCCGGAUCUGCGGUGGGUACGGGCAGACUAGAGUGCAGUAGGGGAGACUGGAAUUCCUGGUGUAGCGGUGGAAUGCGCAGAUAUCAGGAGGAACACCGAUGGCGAAGGCAGGUCUCUGGUGCUGUAACUGACGCUGAGGAGCGAAAGCAUGGGGGGAGCGAACAGGAAUUUAGAUACCCU